Molecule: ribosomal RNA, 492 nt
Filed under: uncultured bacterium
Lineage: Bacteria
Description: partial 16S ribosomal RNA
Rfam family: Bacterial small subunit ribosomal RNA
Source: RNAcentral
AGUGAACGCUGGCGGUAGGCCUAACACAUGCAAGUCGAACGGCAGCACAGUAAGAGCUUGCUCUUACGGUUGGCGAGUGGCGGACGGGUGAGGAAUACAUCGCAAUCUACUUUUUCUUGGGGGAUAACGUAGGGAAACUUCCGCUACUACCUCAUACGACCUACGGGUUGAAGCAGGGGUUCUUCGUACCUUUCCCUAUUCAAUGAGACGAUGUCGGAUUAGCUAGUUGGCUGGGUAAAGGCCCACCAAGGCAACGAUCCGUAGCUGGUCUGAGAGGAUGAUCAGCCACACUGGAACUGAGACACGGUCCAGACUCCUACGGGAGGCAGCAGUGGGGAAUAUUGGACAAUGGGCGAAAGCCUGAUCCAGCAACACCGCGUGAGUGAAGAAGGCCUUCGGGUUGUAAAGCCCUGUUGUUGGGAAAGAAAAGAAGCAGGUUAAUACCCCGAUGUUCUGACGGUACCCAAAGAAUAAGCACCGGCUAACUUCGUG